GGCGUGACGAGGAUCGGGCGUCGCGGAGCACCAGCUGGCGGCGUCGGGGAGUCACGCGAGGGGCACGUGUCGUCGUGGAGUGGGCGUCCCUUUGUUCCCUGAGUGUCGUGGCGGGGCGGUUGUGGUGCCCGGCGACAAGAAGCAGCACGGGCCUGCCUCUCCUGGGGACUUUAUUCUUCCCACGGAACAAGUCUCCGCGGGUUCGUUUCUCAGAUCACAAGCAAG
Molecule: long non-coding RNA, 225 nt
Organism: Eriocheir sinensis (Chinese mitten crab)
Lineage: Eukaryota; Metazoa; Arthropoda; Malacostraca; Decapoda; Varunidae
Exons: 3
Source: RefSeq, a predicted model, not a curated record